ACACAGUUGGCCCAGUCAGAAGAAGACUCUAUUGCCACAAAUGAGCUUCCUUUUGGUUUUUGUCCUCUUGUUCUUAUCAGCUGCUGCUAUUGUUCAGCUGCCAGAUGUGAUCAUUAUGGAAGGGAAUGCAACCACACUGACUUGUUCUCAGGUUCAAACCAAGCAUACAUAUAUGUCCUGGUACAAGCAAGAGAAGAGGAGGGAAGCCCAUUCCCAGUUCCAGCUGGUGACUUUUACAUCUGAAGGUUCUCCAGGGCAAUCUGUCAUUGAGGAAGCCUUUAAAAAACGCUUCAAGACAUCAGGGAUGAAGUCACAUGCCUUGCCUCUGUCUCUGGAGAAUGCCCAGCUGGAAGACACAGGCAUCUACUACUGUGCUUCACAAGAGCA
Molecule: non-coding RNA, 387 nt
Organism: Thamnophis sirtalis
Lineage: Eukaryota; Metazoa; Chordata; Lepidosauria; Squamata; Natricidae
Source: the annotation of a RefSeq genome assembly